GUCAUUGGUGAUGGUGAUCUUGUUUUUCUGACCAGUUGUUUUAUCCUCAGCAGAGACAUUUAGAAUACCAUUUGCAUCAAUGUCGAAGCAUACAGUGAUUUGGGGGACACCUCUUGGUGCUGGAGGAAUGCCAGUGAGCUCAAACUUACCCAGCAAGUUGUUAUCUCUGGUUCUGGCUCUUUCACCUUCAUAAACUUGAAUCAACACACCAGGUUGAUUGUCGGAGUAGGUCGAAAACACCUGCUCUUUCUUAGUCGGAAUCGUGGUGUUCCUUGGAAUCAAGGUGGUCAUAACACCUCCAGCAGUCUCCAGACCAAGGGAAAGAGGUGUAACAUCCAACAGCAGAAGGUCCUGAACUUUCUCAUUCCCUUCACCACUCAAGAUUGCAGCU
This 391-nucleotide unclassified non-coding RNA is filed under the name Hevea brasiliensis (rubber tree). The record is from RNAcentral. Lineage: Eukaryota; Viridiplantae; Streptophyta; Magnoliopsida; Malpighiales; Euphorbiaceae.